UACGUAGGGGGCGAGCGUUAUCCGGAUUCACUGGGUGUAAAGGGAGCGUAGACGGCCAUGCAAGCCAGGGGUGAAAGCCCGGGGCCCAACCCCGGGACUGCCCUUGGAACUGCAUGGCUGGAGUGCGGGAGGGGCAGGCGGAAUUCCUGGUGUAGCGGUGAAGUGCGUAGAUAUUAGGAGGAACACCAGUGGCGAAGGCGGCUUACUGGACUGUAACUGGCGUUGAGGCUCGAAAGCGUGGGGAGCAAACAGG
Molecule: ribosomal RNA, 253 nt
Filed under: uncultured bacterium
Lineage: Bacteria
Description: partial 16S ribosomal RNA
Rfam family: Bacterial small subunit ribosomal RNA
Source: RNAcentral